UACGUGGGGGGCAAGCGUUGUCCGGACUUACUGGGCGUAAAGUGUGCGCAGGCGGCCGAGCAAGUCGAGUGUGAAAGCCCCGGGCUUAACCUGGGAACUGCGCUCGAAACUACUUGGCUUGAGUGUGGCAGAGGGAGGUGGAAUUCCACGUGUAGCGGUGAAAUGCGUAGAGAUGUGGAGGAACACCGAUGGCGAAGGCAGCCUCCUGGGCCAACACUGACGCUCAUGCACGAAAGCGUGGGGAGCAAACAGG
RNAcentral lists this ribosomal RNA (253 nucleotides) under uncultured bacterium. Its description in RNAcentral is "partial 16S ribosomal RNA". It matches the Rfam family "Bacterial small subunit ribosomal RNA", at positions 524 to 776 of the family's 1533-position model. The record is from RNAcentral.